AGUGGACGCUGGCGGUAGGCCUAACACAUGCAAGUCGAACGGCAGCACAGUAAGAGCUUGCUCUUACGGGUGGCGAGUGGCGGACGGGUGAGGAAUACAUCGGAAUCUACUUUUUCGUGGGGGAUAACGUAGGGAAACUUACGCUAAUACCGCAUACGACCUACGGGUGAAAGCAGGGGAUCUUCGGACCUUGCGCGAUUGAAUGAGCCGAUGUCGGAUUAGCUAGUUGGCGGGGUAAAGGCCCACCAAGGCGACGAUCCGUAGCUGGUCUGAGAGGAUGAUCAGCCACACUGGAACUGGGACACGGUCCAGACUCCUACGGGAGGCAGCAGUGGGGAAUAUUGGACAAUGGGCGCAAGCCUGAUCCAGCCAUACCGCGUGGGUGAAGAAGGCCUUCGGGUUGUAAAGCCGUUUUGUUGGGAAAGAAAAGCAGCAGGUUAAUACCCCGCUGUUCUGACGGUACCCAAAGAAUAAGCACCGGCUAACUUCGUG
This 492-nucleotide ribosomal RNA is filed under the name uncultured bacterium. Its description in RNAcentral is "partial 16S ribosomal RNA". It matches the Rfam family "Bacterial small subunit ribosomal RNA", at positions 29 to 507 of the family's 1533-position model. The record is from RNAcentral.